UACGAGGGGUGCAAGCGUUGCUCGGAAUUAUUGGGCGUAAAGGGUAGGUAGGUGGUCUCAUUUGUCAGGGGUGAAAGCCUUGGGCUUAACCCAAGAAGUGCCCCUGAAACGGUGAGACUGGAGUCUUGGAGAGGGUCGUGGAAUUCCCGGUGUAGCGGUGAAAUGCGUAGAGAUCGGGAGGAACACCAGAGGCGAAGGCGGCGACCUGGACAAGUACUGACACUCAACUACGAAAGCGUGGGUAGCAAACAGG
RNAcentral lists this ribosomal RNA (253 nucleotides) under uncultured bacterium. RNAcentral's name for it is "partial 16S ribosomal RNA". It matches the Rfam family "Bacterial small subunit ribosomal RNA", at positions 524 to 776 of the family's 1533-position model. The record is from RNAcentral.